Molecule: non-coding RNA, 79 nt
Submitted as: unclassified sequences
Source: Rfam
UAGCUGAAAGUUGGUGGGAAAUCAGUGUGAAAUUCAUUGGCUGUUCCUGCAACCGUAAAGUCGGAGCGCCACCCAGCUA